AACGAACGCUGGCGGCAUGCCUAACACAUGCAAGUCGAACGAGACCUUCGGGUCUAGUGGCGCACGGGUGCGUAACGCGUGGGAACCUGCCCUUAGGCUCGGAAUACCACCCCGAAAGGGGUGCUAAUACCGGAUAAUGUCUUCGGAUAACAGAUUUAUCGCCCUUGGAUGGGCCCGCGUUGGAUUAGCUAGUUGGUAGGGUAAGAGCCUACCAAGGCGACGAUCCAUAGCUGGUCUGAGAGGAAGAGCAGCGACACUGGGACUGGGACACGGCCCAGACUCCUACAGGAGGCAGCAGUGGGUAAUAUUGGACUAUGGGGGAGAGCCUGAUCCAGCAAGGCUGCGUGAGCGAUGAAGUCCUGAGGGAUGUAAAGCUCGUUUACCCGGGAUGAUAAUGACGGUACCGGGAGAAUAAGCACCGGCUAACUCCGUG
RNAcentral lists this ribosomal RNA (433 nucleotides) under uncultured bacterium. Its description in RNAcentral is "partial 16S ribosomal RNA". It matches the Rfam family "Bacterial small subunit ribosomal RNA", at positions 29 to 507 of the family's 1533-position model. The record is from RNAcentral.